Molecule: non-coding RNA, 92 nt
Organism: Cordylochernes scorpioides
Lineage: Eukaryota; Metazoa; Arthropoda; Arachnida; Pseudoscorpiones; Chernetidae
Source: the annotation of a GenBank genome assembly
UGGACCCAACUAUAUCGGCGAGGCUUCCAUAUGAAUACUGGACACGAUCCCAAUACUGCCCUGUGUGGAAGCUUUUGCCUGCUGUGUUUCCA